UCAGGACGAACGCUGGCGGCGUGCUUCAUACAUGCAAGUCGAACGAGAAUCUGACUCGGUCAGAGGAAAGUGGCGGACGGGUGAGUAAAAUGUAGAGAAUCUGCCCUUAAGCGGGGGACAACAGUUGGAAACGACUGCUAAUACCCCAUAUGCGCGUAGCUGAGAUGCUAUUCGUGAAAACUCCGGUGCUUAAGGAUGAGUCUGCAUCUGAUUAGCUAGUAGGCGGUGUAAUGGACCACCUAGGCGACGAUCAGUAGCUGGUUUGAGAGGAUGAUCAGCCACAAUGGGACUGAGACACGGCCCAUACUCCUACGGGAGGCAGCAGUAGGGAAUUUUGCGCAAUGGGGGAAACCCUGACGCAGCAACGCCGCGUGAUUGAAGAAGCCCUUCGGGGUGUAAAGAUCUGUCAGUGGGGACGAAACUUGACGGUACCCACAGAGGAAGCAUCGGCUAACUCCGUGCCAGCCGCUGC
RNAcentral lists this ribosomal RNA (472 nucleotides) under uncultured bacterium. Its description in RNAcentral is "bacterial SSU rRNA". It matches the Rfam family "Bacterial small subunit ribosomal RNA", at positions 24 to 518 of the family's 1533-position model. The record is from RNAcentral.